This 1343-nucleotide ribosomal RNA is filed under the name metagenome. RNAcentral's name for it is "bacterial LSU rRNA". It matches the Rfam family "Bacterial large subunit ribosomal RNA", at positions 1564 to 2912 of the family's 2925-position model. The record is from RNAcentral.
UGAGUACGAGCGGCUACGGCCGCGAAGUGGAUGAUGUCAAGCUUCCAAGAAAAGCCCUAUACCCGUUAAGGCAUGAUGGCCUGUACCCGAAACCGACACAGGUGGGGUGGUAGAGAAUACCGAGGGGCGCGAGGUAACUCUCUCUAAGGAACUCGGCAAAAUGGCCCCGUAACUUCGGGAGAAGGGGUGCCACCGCGAGGUGGUCGCAGUGAAGAGGCCCAGGCGACUGUUUACCAAAAACACAGGUCUCCGCUAAGUCGCAAGACGAUGUAUGGGGGCUGACGCCUGCCCAGUGCCGGAAGGUUAAGGAAGCUGGUCAGCGCAAGCGAAGCUGGCGACUGAAGCCCCGGUGAACGGCGGCCGUAACUAUAACGGUCCUAAGGUAGCGAAAUUCCUUGUCGGGUAAGUUCCGACCCGCACGAAAGGCGUAACGAUCUGGGCGCUGUCUCGGAGAGAGGCUCGGCGAAAUAGAAUUGUCUGUGAAGAUGCGGACUACGUGCACCCGGACAGAAAGACCCUAUGAAGCUUUACUGUAGCUUGGUAUUGUGCUCGGGCUCGGAAUGCGCAGGAUAGGUGGGAGGCUUUGAUCCAUUGCUUGCGGGUGAUGGUGAGCCACUGGUGAGAUACCACUCUUUCCGAGCUAGAGUUCUAACAGCAACCCGUUAUCCGGGUGCUGGACAGUAUCGGGUGGGCAGUUUGACUGGGGCGGUCGCCUCCUAAAAGGUAACGGAGGCGCGCAAAGGUCUGCUCAGGCUGGUUGGAAAUCAGCCGACGAGUGUAAAAGCAGAAGCAGGCUUGACUGUGAGACCUACAAGUCGAACAGGGAGGAAACUCGGCUUUAGUGAUCCGACGGUUCUGCGUGGAAGGGCCGUCGCUCAACGGAUAAAAGUUACUCUAGGAUAACAGGCUGAUCUCCCCCAAGAGUUCACAUCGACGGGGAGGUUUGGCACCUCGAUGUCGGCUCAUCGCAACCUGGGGCUGAAGUCGGUCCCAAGGGUUGGGCUGUUCGCCCAUUAAAGCGGUACGCGAGCUGGGUUCAGAACGUCGUGAGACAGUUCGGUCCAUAUCCGGUGCACGCGCAGGAAUAUUGAGAGGAUUUCUCCCUAGUACGAGAGGACCGGGAGGAACGCACCUCUGGUGUGCCAGUUAUCGUGCCAACGGUAAACGCUGGGUAGCCAUGUGCGGAGUGGAUAACCGCUGAAAGCAUCCAAGUGGGAAGCCCACCUCAAGAUGAGUAUUCCCAUGGGGUAACCCAGUAAGGUCACGGGAAGAACACCCGUUGAUAGGCUCUACGUGGAAGCGCAGUAAUGUGUGAAGCGGAGGAGUACUAAUAGACCGAGGGC